Molecule: ribosomal RNA, 468 nt
Filed under: uncultured bacterium
Lineage: Bacteria
Description: partial 16S ribosomal RNA
Rfam family: Bacterial small subunit ribosomal RNA
Source: RNAcentral
GACGAACGCUGGCGGCGUGCUUAACACAUGCAAGUCGAACGGAAAGGCCCUGCUUUUGUGGGGUGCUCGAGUGGCGAACGGGUGAGUAACACGUGAGUAACCUGCCCUUGACUUUGGGAUAACUUCAGGAAACUGGGGCUAAUACCGGAUAGGAGCUCCUGCUGCAUGGUGGGGGUUGGAAAGUUUCGGCGGUUGGGGCUGGACUCGCGGCUUAUCAGCUUGUUGGUGGGGUAGUGGCUUACCAAGGCUUUGACGGGUAGCCGGCCUGGGAGGGUGACCGGCCACAUGAGGACUGAGAUACGGCCCAGACUCCUACGGGAGGCAGCAGGGGGGAAUAUUGCACAAUGGGCGGAAGCCUGAUGCAGCAACGCCGCGUGCGGGAUGACGGCCUUCGGGUUGUAAACCGCUUUCGCCUGUGACGAAGCGUGAGUGACGGUAAUGGGUAAAGAAGCACCGGCUAACUACGUG